UAGGGUUCGAUCCUGGCUCAGGAUGAACGCUAGCGGCAGGCCUAACACAUGCAAGUCGAGGGGUAACAGAAAAGCUUGCUUUUGCUGACGACCGGCGCACGGGUGCGUAACGCGUAUGCAACCUACCUCAUACUGGAGGAUAGCCCCUGGAAACGGGGAUUAAUACUCCAUAGUAUCACAAUUUCGCAUGUUAUUGUGAUUAAAGUUUUUCGGUAUGAGAUGGGCAUGCGUCCCAUUAGCUUGUUGGUGAGGUAACGGCUCACCAAGGCAACGAUGGGUAGGGGGCCUGAGAGGGUGGUCCCCCACACUGGUACUGAGACACGGACCAGACUCCUACGGGAGGCAGCAGUGAGGAAUAUUGGUCAAUGGAGGAAACUCUGAACCAGCCAUGCCGCGUGAAGGAUGACGGCCCUAUGGGUUGUAAACUUCUUUUAUAGAGGAAGAAACUUGUCUACGUGUAGACAACUGACGGUACUCUACGAAUAAGGAUCGGCUAACUCCGUGCCAGCCGCCGCGGUAAUUCA
RNAcentral lists this ribosomal RNA (524 nucleotides) under uncultured Cryomorphaceae bacterium. Its description in RNAcentral is "bacterial SSU rRNA". It matches the Rfam family "Bacterial small subunit ribosomal RNA", at positions 1 to 527 of the family's 1533-position model. The record is from RNAcentral. Lineage: Bacteria; Pseudomonadati; Bacteroidota; Flavobacteriia; Flavobacteriales; Cryomorphaceae.